This 433-nucleotide ribosomal RNA is filed under the name uncultured bacterium. Its description in RNAcentral is "partial 16S ribosomal RNA". It matches the Rfam family "Bacterial small subunit ribosomal RNA", at positions 29 to 507 of the family's 1533-position model. The record is from RNAcentral.
AACGAACGCUGGCGGCAUGCCUAACACAUGCAAGUCGAACGAGACCUUCGGGUCUUGUGGCGCACGGGUGCGUAACGCGUGGGAACCUGCCCUUAGGUUCGGUAUAACUCCCCGAAAGGGGUGCUAAUACCGGAUAAUGUCAUAGGACCAAAGAUUUAUCGCGUUUGGGUGGGCCCGCGUUGGAUUAGCUAGUUGGUAGGGUAAAAGCCUGCCAAGGCGACGAUGCAUAGCUGGUCGGAGAGGAUGAUCAGCCACGCUUGGACUGCGACACGGACCAGACUGCGACGGAGGGCAGGAGUGGGGAAUAUUAGACGAUGGGCGAUAGCCUGAUCCAGCAGUGCCGGGGGAGUGAUGAAGGCGUUAGGAUUGUAAUGCUCUUUUACCCGGGAUGAUAAUGACAGUACCGGGUGAAUAAGCACCGGCUAACUCCGUG